CCUACGGGAGGCAGCAGUGGGGGAUAUUGCACAAUGGGCGAGAGCCUGAACCAGCCAAGUAGCGUGAAGGAUGACUGCCCUAUGGGUUGUAAACUUCUUUUAUAUGGGAAUAAAAUGUUCCACGUGUGGGAUUUUGUAUGUACCAUAUGAAUAAGGAUCGGCUAACUCCGUGCCAGCAGCCGCGGUAAUACGGAGGAUCCGAGCGUUAGCCGGAUUUAUUGGGUUUAAGGGGAGCGUAGGUGGAUUGUUAAGUCAGUUGUGAAAGGUUGGGGCUCAACCGUGACAUUGCAGUUGAAACUGGCAGGCUUGAGUACAGGAGAGGUGGGCGGAAUUCGUGGUGUAGCGGUGAAAUGCUUAGAUAUCACGAAGAACUCCGAUUGCGAAGGCAGCUCACUGGACUGCAACUGACACUGAGGCUCGAAAGCGUGGGUAUCAAACAGGAUUAGAUACCCUAGUAGUC
This 460-nucleotide ribosomal RNA is filed under the name uncultured bacterium. RNAcentral's name for it is "partial 16S ribosomal RNA". It matches the Rfam family "Bacterial small subunit ribosomal RNA", at positions 338 to 795 of the family's 1533-position model. The record is from RNAcentral.